AUUGAACGCUGGCGGCAUGCCUUACACAUGCAAGUCGAACGGUAACAGGUCUUCGGAUGCUGACGAGUGGCGAACGGGUGAGUAAUACAUCGGAACGUGCCCGAUCGUGGGGGAUAACGGAGCGAAAGCUUUGCUAAUACCGCAUACGAUCUACGGAUGAAAGCAGGGGACCGCAAGGCCUUGCGCGGACGGAGCGGCCGAUGGCAGAUUAGGUAGUUGGUGGGAUAAAAGCUUACCAAGCCGACGAUCUGUAGCUGGUCUGAGAGGACGACCAGCCACACUGGGACUGAGACACGGCCCAGACUCCUACGGGAGGCAGCAGUGGGGAAUUUUGGACAAUGGGCGAAAGCCUGAUCCAGCCAUGCCGCGUGCAGGAUGAGGGCCUUCGGGUUGUAAACUGCUUUUGUACGGAACGAAAAGACUCUUUCUAAUAAAGAGGGUCCAUGACGGUACCGUAAGAAUAAGCACCGGCUAACUACGUG
RNAcentral lists this ribosomal RNA (482 nucleotides) under uncultured bacterium. RNAcentral describes it as "partial 16S ribosomal RNA". It matches the Rfam family "Bacterial small subunit ribosomal RNA", at positions 30 to 507 of the family's 1533-position model. The record is from RNAcentral.